Sinocyclocheilus grahami is the source of this 85-nucleotide long non-coding RNA. RefSeq lists it as uncharacterized. The record is from RefSeq and is a predicted model, not a curated record. The transcript has 3 exons. Lineage: Eukaryota; Metazoa; Chordata; Actinopteri; Cypriniformes; Cyprinidae.
UAAUUUUUUUUUCAUGCUAAAUUAAAGGUGUAGUUCAUCCAAAAGUGAAAACACUGUACAUUUAUUCACCCUCAUGUCAUUCUAA